This 484-nucleotide ribosomal RNA is filed under the name uncultured bacterium. Its description in RNAcentral is "partial 16S ribosomal RNA". It matches the Rfam family "Bacterial small subunit ribosomal RNA", at positions 30 to 507 of the family's 1533-position model. The record is from RNAcentral.
AUUGAACGCUGGCGGCAGGCCUAACACAUGCAAGUCGAGCGGAUGAAGGGAGCUUGCUCCUGGAUUCAGCGGCGGACGGGUGAGUAAUGCCUAGGAAUCUGCCUGGUAGUGGGGGAUAACGUCCGGAAACGGGCGCUAAUACCGCAUACGUCCUGAGAGAGAAAGUGGGGGAUCUUCGGACCUCACGCUAUCAGAUGAGCCUAGGUCGGAUUAGCUAGUUGGUGGGGUAAAGGCCUACCAAGGCGACGAUCCGUAACUGGUCUGAGAGGAUGAUCAGUCACACUGGAACUGAGACACGGUCCAGACUCCUACGGGAGGCAGCAGUGGGGAAUAUUGGACAAUGGGCGAAAGCCUGAUCCAGCCAUGCCGCGUAUGUGAAGAAGGUCUUCGGAUUGUAAAGCACUUUAAGUUGGGAGGAAGGGCAGUAAGUUAAUACCUUGCUGUUUUGACGUUACCAACAGAAUAAGCACCGGCUAACUUCGUG